CCCCCAGAGUGAGUUGUGGUUACUGGCCAUCCAGCCCUGUGAUUACGUGCCACAGGAAAUAACUGGAGAGAUGAGCCAUCCACCUCCUGAGAUGUUCCCUCGGUGGGUACUCAGUCCGGGGACUGGCGUUCAACCUGGCAGGUGCAGACCCUGAUUGAUUUCAUUAGCAUAUCAAAUAGAUGAGUUUCUUAGUGACAGACUCGGGUUGAGUAAUUUCUAGAGAAAAAAAAAUACAGGAAGUUGACUCGGGCUGUCACUCUGGGAAGAGGAGACACCAGAGCACCUCUUCCCUGCACACUGGUUGACUCACGAAAUGAAUGAGAACCAGAGCGGAGGGUAAGAGUUGCCUGCCCUCCUGACACAGCCAGUGGAAUUGCGAUGAAGCUUUGGAUGCCUCUGUCUCCCGGUCAGGAAGGGAACUUUCUCUCCGCUGGAAUCGUGACAUUAGAAGACUUUGUCUGUCUGUACCCUUCUUGGAGUAAAGCCUAGCUGUUCCCUGCCAAGAACACCCUGAGCCUGAGGUUCUGACCCUGUUUCUCUGAGAAUGACCCACCCGUGUCUCCUGUUGCUUCCAACACUCUGCAGCGAAUGUCACUGUAGCUAGUCUUCAUGCCAGGUCGAUGGAGACAGGCUUGACGAUUCUUUGCCACAAACAAGUCUCUCCUAGCUUUGACUAGCCGUCGUUGGAUGCCAGGGAAUGGAAGCUACCGAACAAGCCUCAUGAGCAGAAAUUUCACAAGAAAACAGCCAAAUCGUUAAGCACAGAUUCUUCACAGUGGAUUGCUGAGGAUGGGCCAUGAGCAGACAAGUGGGCAGCAAGGAUGCAGAGGCGGCAGAAGAGACUGGGGACACACGACACGGAAGACACGGAAGACACGGAAGACACGGAAGACACAGACGACCUGGACAUCUCAUCCACAGGACACAGACCAAGACAUCUCAUCCACACGGCACAGACAACCCAGACAUCUCAUCCACACGACACAGACAACCCAGACAUCUCAUCCACACGACACAGACAACUCAGACAUCUCAUCCACACGACACAGACAACUCAGACAUCUCAUCCACACGACACAGACAACUCAGACAUCUCAUCCACACGACACAGACGACACAGACAUCUCAUCCACACGACACAGACAGACCGGGACAUCUCAUCCACACGACACAGACCGGGACAUCUCAUCCACACGGCACAGACAACCCAGACAUCUCAUCCACACGGCACAGACUCACAUCUCAUUUCUCCAGACCCUCCUCCUUCACGACUCCUCGAACCAGCACCAGUUUUGCAUGCCAUUGUUUCCUUAUCUCAGUCUUUUCACGCCCAACCCAGGGCAAAAGGCUUUCCAUUCAGAAAUAAAGAACUGACGGUAUCAGUCACCUGACCCAGCAGGUGGAAGCCAGCAUUGCGGUCUUCCUCUCUUUCCUCCCCUCUAGCCCAAGUCCAGGGCGGAUGCGCCUUUCUAGGUUAGAUCUACUCUCUCC
Molecule: long non-coding RNA, 1491 nt
Filed under: Cricetulus griseus (Chinese hamster)
Lineage: Eukaryota; Metazoa; Chordata; Mammalia; Rodentia; Cricetidae
Description: lncRNA (ENSCGRG00015039485.1)
Source: RNAcentral